Molecule: long non-coding RNA, 387 nt
Organism: Ziziphus jujuba (common jujube)
Lineage: Eukaryota; Viridiplantae; Streptophyta; Magnoliopsida; Rosales; Rhamnaceae
Exons: 2
Source: RefSeq, a predicted model, not a curated record
GGAUUCUAUUCCACUUUAAUAUUGAAGGUGAUGUUUCUUGUUAUCAGUCACAUUAAUAUGUAAAUUUUCCCAUUAAAACUAUAGAGAAAUUGACUAAUUUGAGAUAAGGGAUGAUUCCCAAGGUUCUUAAAGAUAUUAGAAGGCGUGACAAUUCGGUUGGUAAAAGAUUAAAGCAUUACAAGUCUUGAUGUGCCCACUAUUCAACACUACAUUAUAACUAGUUUAAAGCUCCAAUAUAAUUCUUUCAAGAUUUACAGGGAUUGCCAGCGGCUUGCGUUAAACACUAGCACCCUGCAACAAAGUUCGGUUUGUAAAUCUCCGGCAAUCUCCAUUGAGUUUUCGGCCACCAGCUACAGCUGAAUAUUUAUUAAUCAUAAUUUUUUGCUA